CACGUAGGCACCAAGCGUUGUCCGGAUUUAUUGGGCGUAAAGAGCUCGUAGGCGGUUCAGUAAGUCGGAUGUGAAAACUCUGGGCUCAACCCAGAGACGCCACCCGAUACUGCUGUGACUUGAGUACGGUAGGGGAGUGGGGAAUUCCUGGUGUAGCGGUGAAAUGCGCAGAUAUCAGGAGGAAGACCGGUGGCGAAGGCGGCCUGCUGGGCAGUUACUGACACUGAGGCGCGACAGCGUGGGGAGCAAACAGG
This 254-nucleotide ribosomal RNA is filed under the name uncultured bacterium. RNAcentral describes it as "partial 16S ribosomal RNA". It matches the Rfam family "Bacterial small subunit ribosomal RNA", at positions 524 to 776 of the family's 1533-position model. The record is from RNAcentral.